AUUGAACGCUGGCGGCAGGCCUAACACAUGCGAGUCGAGCGGAUGAAGGGAGCUUGCUCCCGGAUUCAGCGGCGGACGGGUGAGUAAUGCCUAGGAAUCUGCCUGGUAGUGGGGGAUAACGUCCGGAAACGGGCGCUAAUACCGCAUACGUCCUGAGGGAGAAAGUGGGGGAUCUUCGGACCUCACGCUAUCAGAUGAGCCUAGGUCGGAUUAGCUAGUUGGUGGGGUGAAGGCCUACCAAGGCGACGAUCCGUAACUGGUCUGAGAGGAUGAUCAGUCACACUGGAACUGAGACACGGUCCAGACUCCUACGGGAGGCAGCAGUGGGGAAUAUUGGACAAUGGGCGAAAGCCUGAUCCAGCCAUGCCGCGUGUGUGAAGAAGGUCUUCGGAUUGUAAAGCACUUUAAGUUGGGAGGAAGGGCAGUAAGUUAAUACCUUGCUGUUUUGACGUUACCAACAGAAUAAGCACCGGCUAACUUCGUG
This 484-nucleotide ribosomal RNA is filed under the name uncultured bacterium. RNAcentral's name for it is "partial 16S ribosomal RNA". It matches the Rfam family "Bacterial small subunit ribosomal RNA", at positions 30 to 507 of the family's 1533-position model. The record is from RNAcentral.